This is a long non-coding RNA of Cicer arietinum (chickpea), 615 nucleotides long. RefSeq lists it as uncharacterized. Lineage: Eukaryota; Viridiplantae; Streptophyta; Magnoliopsida; Fabales; Fabaceae. The record is from RefSeq and is a predicted model, not a curated record.
AUAAAAUCAAUUAAAAAAAUCAAAAACACAAAAGACAAAAAGAUGAAUUUAAAGAGGGAGUAAAAAGAAAGAGGGUUAUGUUCACGUUGAACCUUAGAGCAAUUUGAAGAAGGAGAAUAGGAAGAAAGAGAAAUUCAAAAAGGGAGAAGAGGCAUAAAGUGGUUGCGAAGACUGAUUCGCGCUGUGACGACAUGGACAAACGAAAAAUCCUAAAAAUAGGUUUUAUGGAUAAAGGAGACAAAAGUAAACAAUUUUUAUACAUAUUUGAUGAAGAUACGACCAAUCGUGCUAUGGAGAUUAUAAUAUCUCUAAAGGAAAAGAAUGAUGAGCUCCUGAAAUUUAUGAAUGACUCAUAAAUGAAAAUGGGUUGAAGAAGAAUAAAAUUAUGAAGAAGAAAAUUAAAAUUAUGGGUUUUUUUAUGGUUUGUCUUGGGUGUUUGUUGUAAUAGUUGUGUUUGCAUUAGUUGCAACACAUGUUUUGAAAUAGGUUGUUGUUUAGGUUCAUUAUCAGCUUGUUUUUUUGUCAACAUGUAAUUGUGUGAAGAUGUAAUGACUAUGUUCAUGUAAUCAAAUGGUUGUCUUUUUUAAUGAAAUGUUGUAAUUGUGUCUGUCGUAA